CGGAGAGGUGGCUGAGUGGUUGAAAGCACCGCACUCGAAAUGCGGCAUGGGGGCAACUCCAUCGGGGGUUCGAAUCCCUCCCUCUCCGCCAU
This 92-nucleotide transfer RNA is filed under the name Brucella ovis ATCC 25840. RNAcentral's name for it is "tRNA-Ser". It matches the Rfam family "tRNA". From Rfam's summary of the family: Transfer RNA (tRNA) molecules are approximately 80 nucleotides in length. Their secondary structure includes four short double-helical elements and three loops (D, anti-codon, and T loops). Further hydrogen bonds mediate the characteristic L-shaped molecular structure. tRNAs have two regions of fundamental functional importance: the anti-codon, which is responsible for specific mRNA codon recognition, and the 3' end, to which the tRNAs corresponding amino acid is attached (by aminoacyl-tRNA synthetases). tRNAs cope with the degeneracy of the genetic code in two manners: having more than one tRNA (with a specific anti-codon) for a particular amino acid; and 'wobble' base-pairing, i.e. permitting non-standard base-pairing at the 3rd anti-codon position. The record is from RNAcentral. Lineage: Bacteria; Pseudomonadati; Pseudomonadota; Alphaproteobacteria; Hyphomicrobiales; Brucellaceae.